This 433-nucleotide ribosomal RNA is filed under the name uncultured bacterium. RNAcentral describes it as "partial 16S ribosomal RNA". It matches the Rfam family "Bacterial small subunit ribosomal RNA", at positions 29 to 507 of the family's 1533-position model. The record is from RNAcentral.
AACGAACGCUGGCGGCAUGCCUAACACAUGCAAGUCGAACGAGACCUUCGGGUCUAGUGGCGCACGGGUGCGUAACGCGUGGGAACCUGCCCUUAGGUUCGGAAUAACUCACCGAAAGGGGUGCUAAUACCGGAUAAUGUCUUCGGACCAAAGAUUUAUCGCCUUGGGAUGGGCCCGCGUUGGAUUAGCUAGUUGGUAGGGUAAAAGCCUACCAAGGCGACGAUCCAUAGCUGGUCUGAGAGGAUGAUCAGCCACACUGGGACUGAGACACGGCCCAGACUCCUACGGGAGGCAGCAGUGGGGAAUAUUGGACAAUGGGCGAAAGCCUGAUCCAGCAAUGCCGCGUGAGUGAUGAAGGCCUUAGGGUUGUAAAGCUCUUUUACCCGGGAUGAUAAUGACAGUACCGGGAGAAUAAGCUCCGGCUAACUCCGUG